Oryzias latipes (Japanese medaka) is the source of this 1177-nucleotide long non-coding RNA. RefSeq lists it as uncharacterized. NCBI's taxonomy places the organism in Eukaryota, Metazoa, Chordata, Actinopteri, Beloniformes, Adrianichthyidae. The record is from RefSeq and is a predicted model, not a curated record.
AAAAACACCUUCAUUCCGUUCUCAGUUUCUCUGUUUGUGUGGCUGAAAUUUUUCUGUUUUCCCCUGUUUUAAAAAAAGGGAUACGGUUUAGACAGACUUAAAGGAUUCUGAAAGCCAAAAGAGUUCAUCUGUCUAAACAUUAUUUGUGUUCCAUCAUAAGACCAUAAGACACAGACAUGGGGAAAGGUGCGAGUGACGACUGGGAUGAGAAGCCCCACAAUGUGCAGCAGACACAGCCACAGAAGCAUGAAGAUACCAAGCCUAAGAAACAGGAGGAGAAGGAGAAGGACAAAAAGAAAGGUUGUCCAAAAUGCUGCUUGAAGGUCAGGGACUGCAUGAUGAGCCCGGAGUGCGGCAGGGCGCUUCAGAUCUCCAGUGUUGUGGCCUGGUGUGGAAUGUGCCUCAACAUGUGGACAUAACUGAACAGUGGACUUCCUUGUUUCCUGAGCAACAAACUGAGCUGCCGUCAGACGCACCGUCAAGUCAUCCUUUAUUCUCCUGGUCUAUAACGAAAAAACACUUAGCUUUAAAGUUUCUCAUCGCCUAUUUAUUACUUUUCUAUUACUGUUGUAUUUUUAGAAGGAUGGAAAACAAACCUGUUUCUGAUAAGAUAUGUCUAAAUAUCAUCUAGAACAUUAUGAAGGAAGUGUUAAGUAUUAAUGCUGCUGGAUGGUUGAUUAUUUUAAUUUGAAGCCUUAUUUGUUGUAUGUAAAAGUAUUCAGUAAUUUGCACAUUUCCUAAUAAAUGUUCCUUUUAUAGUUUUAUCUGGUGUUUUCAAUUAAGUAAUUAAAUCUAAUUAUUGUGUAUUGAAAAAGGAACUAUGCAUAAAAAAAAGAAAAGUGUUGUUUUUACUGAUCAAGAAGACUGAGUAAUGCUUUACAUUCCUUAUUUCUUUACCUUUUUGACAUUCUUGACUUAUUUUUCUAUGAAAUUUUGAACUUUUAAACUGAGUUUAAGUAGGCGCAAAAAACGAGUAAAAAUGUUCCAUUUUGUCUAAACAGAGUAUAAAAUGUGUAGUGAGGAAUUUUACAGCCUUAAAACAUCUAUAAUAAUUGUAAUAAAGUUAAGUUGACUACUUUAUGGAUUUCACCUUUCGCGGGUUGUUUGUUGUACGCGCCUGUUGUGAUAAAUGACGGAACAACAAACUUGAAAAAUAAAGAAAAAGGAAGAAAAAAUA